CUUCAAUACGUUAGCAAAAAUAUCAUCCAAGUCCGAGGACACCGAUUCACCCUCGAUAUUACGAGAAACUCGGCGGGAUGCCCUUACUCCCGCUGAUUUUACACUCCAAUAUAGCCCGCUAAGAGAGUCUGGAUCCAAUAUAAACUCUCUCAACCGACGAUUAAAUUCUUUGUUUUUAGUACUAACGUGGUCGUUAUCGUACGCAUGGAUAUCAGAAGCAUGAGCCGAAUCAACGAAUGGCACCGAAGAGGAGUUAUUAUUUAAUUCCGCAACCACAGAUUGCUUGAAUGGAUUUUCAUCAUAUUGCAAAGAAGCAGGAGAAGUGAUAAGAGAGGAAAAGGAACUAGAAGAGGUAGAUUCCUCUGUGUUCUUUCUUGGUAGCAAAUCCUCAUCGUGUGAAAUCGAAGAGCUCGGGAUUGCACUUGAAGCAUCUAACUCAGGUGUAGGUAUAACCAUUUCCUCAUUACACUCCAAUGGAGCCGGGGAUUCGUGUAGUAGCUCACGCAUUUCGCUUAAUUCAUCUGCUAAACUUGUAAAUCCACCCGCAAAACUUCUUCUGUUUAUUUCGUUAUUUACAUGAUGGUUACUCAAUGUUGAUAAAUCUAUUGAAGAUUGAGAAAAUGCUUUACGCUCCGCUGUUAUGUAUACAGAAGACGUUGUGCACUGUGCAUCACUUUGCGAGGAAGAAUCAACAGGUAAAGACAUCUGACGAAGAAGCGAACUUGGUGAUAAUUCAACCUUAUCUGCUUGCUUUCGGUUUUCGCUGUCUUCUUCGUCAUCCUUUUGGAAUCCUUUUGUUGGAGAGGAUGGAGUAGAUGAAGAGUAUAAUCGAGGGGAAAGAAGCUUUUCAGAUGGCAUUUCAAUCGAUACCGAAUGUCGAAUAGGGUACACUUCUAAUUGUUUUAAGGAUUGAACUGAUAAAUUAUUGGGCAUUUGACCAGAAAUUGGUUCCUUUUCUACAUCGUUUGGGGCAUCCUGAGUAACAUUAGAUGUGUCAAAAGAGUCACUCUGAGAAACUAUAAUUGAUUUUGGUGCAUUCAAUGAGA
Molecule: non-coding RNA, 1046 nt
Organism: Schizosaccharomyces pombe (fission yeast)
Lineage: Eukaryota; Fungi; Ascomycota; Schizosaccharomycetes; Schizosaccharomycetales; Schizosaccharomycetaceae
Source: the annotation of a GenBank genome assembly